AUGAACGCUGGCGGCGUGCCUAAUACAUGCAAGUCGAGCGAACGGACGAGAAGCUUGCUUCUCUGAUGUUAGCGGCGGACGGGUGAGUAACAAGUGGAUAACCUACCUAGAAGAUUGGGAUAAUUUCGGGAAACCGUAGCUAAUACCGGAUAAUAUUUUGAACCGCAUGGUUCAAAAGUGAAAGACGGUCUUGUUGUGAUUUAUAGAUGGAGCAGCGACGCAUUAGUUAGUUGGUAAAGUAACGGCUUACCAAGGCAACGAUGCAUAGACGACCUGAGAGGGUGAUCGGCGACACUGGAACUGAGACACGGUCCAUACUCCUACGGGAGGCAGCAGUAGGGAAUCUUCCGCAAUGGGCGAAAGCCUGACGGAGCAACGCCGCGUGAGUGGUGAAGGUCUUCGGAUCGUAAAACUCUGUUAUUAGGGAAGAACAUAUGUGUAAGUAACUGUGCACAUCUUGACGGUACCUAAUCAGAAAGCCACGGCUAACUACGUG
This 496-nucleotide ribosomal RNA is filed under the name uncultured bacterium. RNAcentral's name for it is "partial 16S ribosomal RNA". It matches the Rfam family "Bacterial small subunit ribosomal RNA", at positions 29 to 507 of the family's 1533-position model. The record is from RNAcentral.